Molecule: ribosomal RNA, 254 nt
Filed under: uncultured bacterium
Lineage: Bacteria
Description: partial 16S ribosomal RNA
Rfam family: Bacterial small subunit ribosomal RNA
Source: RNAcentral
UACGUAGGUGGCAAGCGUUGUCCGGAUUUACUGGGCGUAAAGGAUGCGUAGGCGGACAUUUAAGUCAGAUGUGAAAUACCCCGAGCUUAACUUGGGUGCUGCAUUUGAAACUGGGUGUCUAGAGUGCAGGAGAGGUAAGUGGAAUUCCUAGUGUAGCGGUGAAAUGCGUAGAGAUUAGGAAGAACACCAGUGGCGAAGGCGACUUACUGGACACAUAUUGACGCUGAGGUGCGAAAGCGUGGGGAGCAAACAGG